GCAAAAAGCCCUUGUCCCUACAAAAUAGUGAGAUAAUCCCAACAGCGGAGAAAGACACAAACCACGUACAUACAGCACAACAGUGUUCUGACUGGGCUCUCUAGAGGGUGCUGUGAAACAUUCUGUUAAUUAAUAGGAAAGGAGGAACAGGAUUUCCCCUUUGCUCUGCUCUUCUCUUCCUCCACCUGCCUUGCCAUCAGACAGAGAUCUAUUUUCCCAGCUACAGAAUUCCUGCUCUGAGGUUCUGUACCUGGGGCCAACCAAAACCCAGAAGCUGCUUCAAACCAACAUAACCCAUGACAGCAGGGCAAGUCAUUAGUCCACAGAAAGCAAUUAGUACUUUCCAAGAAGUGGCACAGAAGUACUUGCCUCAUGUUUUUGCUUUAAACACACAUGGGCAGGCUCAGUUUCAUGGUGGGUGGACAUAGAUCUACUCCUCAGCUCAGCAAGAAAUUCCCAAGAAAGAGGGACUUGCACCUUUGCCUUUGUCUAAGCACCAAGCUCAAGGAAAAAUUCUUUGCAAUCUACAGACAAAAUCAUAAAAAGUAAAAGUUAGCAGAGCUGAGGAGUGUAACUGGCAGAAACAUGGAGUAAUUUUUUACCCUUUACUGGAUGCCUUCAAUUGUUGUGUACACAGUCCUUACUCUGUGCUGUUCAAUAUUGCCACGGUAGUUUACAAUUAUAAGCAGCCAUGAGUGAGUUUGAACUCAUUUAUUACUUUUUUUUUUCCCCCCACCCAUUUUCCUAAUCUCUGUAGUUGGCUGUGUAGGAAUACAAGUAUAUGCUGGGUUGGACUAAUUUCCCCUGCAGUCUGUACAGACCACCUUUUGCAGUCCGACACUAUGGUACCCAACAUCAGAGGAGCACACGUGGACAGCCACAGCAUGAGGCCGUGAUGCUAGAAGUGAGCUGACUCACCCGUUUGGCAGCAUGAAGCACUGCUCAAAUAGCAGCUUGCAUCAUGCCACACUGACACCAAAGUUACUAUUUCAGUACGGAAAUACUCACGAAAAGCUACACACCGCAGUGAUGUAGCGAUGCCUGGUAGUAGAUAAUCUCUGAUAUGAUGCAGCCACAGACAUUUGGUGGAGAAAAUAGUUUGCCGGCAUUAUCUGCUUGACUCAUAAAGAAGAUAAGAGCCAAAUACAAUCUGAAAGCAAUAGCUUCCAUGGGAAUCCUGGUGUCUUCAAUAUGUAUUUAGUAACACAUACUUUUGAGAAGCAGAGGGGCAGCACUCCUAACCCCAAUGGAUCCUGGGCAUCGCAGAUUCCCUAGGCAGGUGUUGGCUGGUGUCAAGUACUGCCCAGUCCUUACGGGCCAAGUGGCAGCAGCUGGCUGCCUCCCCACCCUCUCAUGCCUCUGUGUCCUGGUGAACCAAAUGACUACUUUCUCCCACUCUGGAGAUACCAUUUUUCUCUCAAAUUGCCCAAUUGGCCAGUGUAGUUAAGCCCAAAGUAAAGAGGUCUUUACGUAUUUUGCUCCAGACUGGAAGAAAGUUUUGUGUACUGAAAGCCACACCUGAUUUUCUAUCCUGACCUAGAAGCAGAAACUCUUCUUCCAAGCCUUGCCCCCCUCCCAAUGUGUUCUUCACAUUCUCAUCUCCUGCAGAAAGUUUGCCUUGCAGAGGUAUCACCUGGAAAAGGGAAUAGCCAUGGAGAAGAAUCACUUUUUGCAGGAGAUCCCCUUUUCUGCUAUCAUUAUUAACCAAGACAUUCAAUAACUCUGUUGAUAAUGUCACCUGCCACACAAUGCUCUCUGGUAUCUUGAGGAAAGGUCACAAAGAGCAGCCUACGAUCUGGGAACCUGACAGGUACUAGAAAGUUUAGACAGCAUAGAAGACUUGGCCAGCAGAGGUGAGAGGCAUGGAAAUCAGACAUGCAAAAGAAGUGAUUACAGGUUUCCUCCAGAGUCACAAGUCAUCUAAGUGCCAGUGAAGCCUCUACUUCUGAAGCCUUCCCUAAUGCUGGUGGACUACGUAGAAAUACAGGGGUUUGGUCAGACCUACACCGCCUUGCUCAGCCUUCCCAAUACAUCUUUGCUCUCCUGCAUUUUUAAGCUGUGUAAUGAUGAAGAUAAUUCUACAACAUUGAGCUUUAGCUUCUGAAUAAAAUAUUUUAUCUUGCAGUCGAAAAA
This is a long non-coding RNA of Anas platyrhynchos (mallard), 2133 nucleotides long. RefSeq lists it as uncharacterized. NCBI's taxonomy places the organism in Eukaryota, Metazoa, Chordata, Aves, Anseriformes, Anatidae. The record is from RefSeq and is a predicted model, not a curated record.